This 656-nucleotide long non-coding RNA is filed under the name Homo sapiens (human). RNAcentral's name for it is "HSALNT0328908". The record is from RNAcentral. Lineage: Eukaryota; Metazoa; Chordata; Mammalia; Primates; Hominidae.
CGAGAGCGCCCAGGGGGUGGGCGUCUUGCCCCGGGCGUCGAGAGUUUGGGGCCGUCCCGUACGCGGCGCGCCGCAACCCAGUCCCCGCGACCACAGCAGCCUGCUCCCCACCGCGCUUGCAGAGCCCGGACGCGCGUGAGUCGGGGGCCCGCAGAGGCCUCACCCUUGGAGGUCGCCGCUUGUCAGGCCUGACUGCUGUUGGCGCCCACCCCGCCGCCCCCGAGGGGCCGCUCGAGGCCGGACUGCUGCUUUGCCGUGGCAGGCCCCACCCGGGACGUGGCGCUGCGGGCCGGGGCGGUCCAGCUUUACACCAGCCUCCUGAGUAUGACAGCAACAUUCCUUCAGGGAUUAAAGAAAAUGCUUCAGAAGAUUGGAACACUGCUCAGCCUUCCCAACCUUCUUUUACCACUGAUGUUUCUACCUUAGUGAUCUUCCUCCUUAUUUUAAUGCUUCUUUCUCUUUACAAUUAAAAGUUCAUAAAAUCUUUCAACAUUAUUUUUCACUACAAAAGUCUGAAGUUCUCUGUGAAAUGCCUACAUGUAAGAAUUAAGAUAGAUUUUAAAGACUGUCAGUCUCAAAAUUCCAUGCUCAUCAGUUAGUGCAUGAUAUUAAAUUAUGCUUUUUUCCUCCUUUUAAAUAUACCAACAUUAUAUUGC